GUUGUUCCAGGGACAACUGCCUAAAGUUGUUCCAGGUCCAACAACUCUGUUAACCAAUCGCUGCUAUGUGAUGUCAUCAAUGUGCGACUUCACCCCCUGUUCAAAAUUUCCCUCCCGAAAUCAACAUCUUUCCAGCUCUGUGUAGGGACGCAAAAAAAGAGUGUGCCUGCUAUCGUAAAAGCUUUACCCAAAAAGAAAAAAAACAAGGACAACAAUAUUCAGCGCCCUGUCAGAGCAGGAAGCAAAGGAGCUGGCCAAUGGUUUUGCCACUAGACUGGCAUUGGAUGUUACUGCUGACAGACACAGUCUGUGACGGAGUGGAUGCUGCAUGUGCUGAUGAAGACACUUCAGAAAUUACAAAUCAACCUGAAAGCAGCCUUGACGGAAUCAUCAAUUUGGAUCUCCAGCUUUGGAUGCUACUAUGUCUUUUCUUAUUGACAAGCUGGACAGGGUUGGCAAAUGAAAGGCACUAGUUGUCCUUUUAGUUGUGUUUUUUGUUGUAAAGCCACAUUGUUUUUUGUCUUAAAACCCCCAG
This is a long non-coding RNA of Sardina pilchardus (European sardine), 535 nucleotides long. RefSeq lists it as uncharacterized. The transcript is spliced from 3 exons. The record is from RefSeq and is a predicted model, not a curated record. Lineage: Eukaryota; Metazoa; Chordata; Actinopteri; Clupeiformes; Clupeidae.